GACGAACGCUGGCGGCGUGCUUAACACAUGCAAGUCGAACGGUAAGGCCCUGCUUUUGUGGGGUGCUCGAGUGGCGAACGGGUGAGUAACACGUGAGUAACCUGCCCUUGACUUUGGGAUAACUUCAGGAAACUGGGGCUAAUACCGGAUAGGAGCUCCUGCUGCAUGGUGGGGGUUGGAAAGUUUCGGCGGUUGGGGAUGGACUCGCGGCUUAUCAGCUUGUUGGUGGGGUAGUGGCUUACCAAGGCUUUGACGGGUAGCCGGCCUGAGAGGGUGACCGGCCACAUUGGGACUGAGAUACGGCCCAGACUCCUACGGGAGGCAGCAGUGGGGAAUAUUGCACAAUGGGCGGAAGCCUGAUGCAGCAACGCCGCGUGCGGGAUGACGGCCUUCGGGUUGUAAACCGCUUUCGCCUGUGACGAAGCGUGAGUGACGGUAAUGGGUAAAGAAGCACCGGCUAACUACGUGCCAGCAGCCGCGGUGAUACGUAGGGUGCGAGCGUUGUCCGGAUUUAUUGGGCGUAAAGGGCUCGUAGGUGGUUGAUCGCGUCGGAAGUGUAAUCUUGGGGCUUAACCCUGAGCGUGCUUUCGAUACGGGUUGACUUGAGGAAGGUAGGGGAGAAUGGAAUUCCUGGUGGAGCGGUGGAAUGCGCAGAUAUCAGGAGGAACACCAGUGGCGAAGGCGGUUCUCUGGGCCUUUCCUGACGCUGAGGAGCGAAAGCGUGGGGAGCGAACAGGCUUAGAUACCCUGGUAGUCCACGCUGUAAACGGUGGGUACUAGGUGUGGGGUCCAUUCCACGGGUUCCGUGCCGUAGCUAACGCUUUAAGUACCCCGCCUGGGGAGUACGGCCGCAAGGCUAAAACUCAAAGGAAUUGACGGGGCCCCGCACAAGCGGCGGAGCAUGCGGAUUAAUUCGAUGCAACGCGUAGAACCUUACCUGGGUUUGACAUGGAUCGGGAGCGCUCAGAGAUGGGUGUGCCUCUUUUGGGGUCGGUUCACAGGUGGUGCAUGGCUGUCGUCAGCUCGUGUCGUGAGAUGUUGGGUUAAGUCCCGCAACGAGCGCAACCCUUGUUCACUGUUGCCAGCACGUUAUGGUGGGGACUCAGUGGAGACCGCCGGGGUCAACUCGGAGGAAGGUGGGGAUGACGUCAAGUCAUCAUGCCCCUUAUGUCCAGGGCUUCACGCAUGCUACAAUGGCUGGUACAGAGAGUGGCGAGCCUGUGAGGGUGAGCGAAUCUCGGAAAGCCGGUCUCAGUUCGGAUUGGGGUCUGCAACUCGACCUCAUGAAGUCGGAGUCGCUAGUAAUCGCAGAUCAGCAACGCUGCGGUGAAUACGUUCCCGGG
Molecule: ribosomal RNA, 1343 nt
Filed under: uncultured bacterium
Lineage: Bacteria
Description: 16S ribosomal RNA
Rfam family: Bacterial small subunit ribosomal RNA
Source: RNAcentral